RNAcentral lists this ribosomal RNA (301 nucleotides) under uncultured bacterium. RNAcentral's name for it is "partial 16S ribosomal RNA". It matches the Rfam family "Bacterial small subunit ribosomal RNA", at positions 509 to 807 of the family's 1533-position model. The record is from RNAcentral.
CAGUAGCCGCGGUAGUACGAAGGGGGCUAGCGUUGCUCGGAAUCACUGGGCGUAAAGGGUGCGUAGGCGGGUCUUUAAGUCAGGGGUGAAAUCCUGGAGCUCAACUCCAGAACUGCCUUUGAUACUGAAGAUCUUGAGUUCGGGAGAGGUGAGUGGAACUGCGAGUGUAGAGGUGAAAUUCGUAGAUAUUCGCAAGAACACCAGUGGCGAAGGCGGCUCACUGGCCCGAUACUGACGCUGAGGCACGAAAGCGUGGGGAGCAAACAGGAUUAGAUACCCCCGUAGUCCCUGUCUCUUAUAC